Molecule: ribosomal RNA, 1812 nt
Filed under: marine metagenome
Description: bacterial LSU rRNA
Rfam family: Bacterial large subunit ribosomal RNA
Source: RNAcentral
CCUGAAACCGGAUGCUUACAAGCAGUUGGAGCCUCUUUAUGAGGUGACAGCGUACCUUUUGUAUAAUGGGUCAGCGACUUAAUCUCAUUAGCAAGCUUAAGCCAUUUAGGUGUAGGCGAAGCGAAAGCGAGUCUGAAUAGGGCGAUUUAGUUAAUGGGAUUAGACUCGAAACCGAGUGAUCUAGUCAUGAGCAGGUUGAAAGUGAAGUAAAAUUCACCGGAGGACCGAACCCACUAGCGUUGAAAAGCUACGGGAUGACUUGUGAUUAGGGGUGAAAGGCCAACCAAACUCGGAAAUAGCUAGUUCUCCGCGAAAACUAUUUAGGUAGUGCGUCGUGUGAAUCUUGUCGGGGGUAGAGCACUGAAUGGGCUAGGGGGAAGCAAUUCCUACCAAACCUAAUCAAACUCCGAAUACCGAUAAGUCUGCACGGCAGACAGUCCAUGGGUGCUAAGGUCCUUGGACGAGAGGGAAACAGCCCAGAUCAACAGCUAAGGUCCCCAAAUAAUGAUUAAGUGUGAAAGGGAGUGGGAACUCCAAGACAGCCAGGAGGUUGGCUUAGAAGCAGCCAUCCUUUAAAGAAAGCGUAACAGCUCACUGGUCUAAUUAAGAGAUCCUGCACCGAAAAUGUAACGGGGCUCAAAUCAUUUACCGAAGCUUUGACAAUUACUUUGUAAUUGGGUAGCGGAGCGUUCUGUAAGCCUGUAAAGGUGAUGCGUAAGCAUUGCUGGAGGUAUCAGAAGUGCGAAUGCUGACAUGAGUAACGAUAAGAAAUGUGAAAGACAUUUCCGCCGAAAUCCUAAGGUUUCCUGCGUAAAGCUAAUCUGCGCAGGGUUAGUCGGCCCCUAAGGCGAGGGCGAAAGCCGUAGUCGAUGGGAAGCAGGUUAAUAUUCCUGCACCAGCUGGUAGUGACGGAUGAAGUAAAUUGUAAGUUCUUACUGGAUUGAGCUUGCAGUGAAUUUGUCCCUGGAAAUAGCUCCAGCAUUAGACCGUACCAAAACCGACACAGGUAGGAGGGUAGAGAAUACCAAGGCGCUUGAGAGAACUAUGUUGAAGGAACUCGGCAAAUUACACUUGUAACUUCGGGAUAAAAGUGACCUGCUAUUGGGCAACCAGUAGGAGGUGGCACAGAAGAGGGGGUAGCGACUGUUUACUAAAAACAUAGCACUAUGCAAAGUCGAAAGACGACGUAUAUGGUGUGACGCCUGCCCGGUGCCGGAAGGUUAAUAGGAGGGGUGCAAGCCCUGAAUUGAAGCCCCGGUGAACGGCGGCCGUAACUAUAACGGUCCUAAGGUAGCGAAAUUCCUUGUCGGGUAAGUUCCGACCUGCACGAAUGGCGUAACGAUUUCCCCACUGUCUCCAACAUAGACUCAGUGAAAUUGAAUUCUCGGUUAAGAUGCCGAGUAACCGUGGUUAGACGGAAAGACCCCGUGCACCUUUACUGCAGCUUUGUAUUGGUAUUAGGGAACAGAUGUGUAGCAUAGGUGGGAGACUUUGAAGGAGUGGCGCUAGCCAUUCUGGAGUCACCAGUGAAAUACCACUCUUCUGUUCCUUGAUGCCUAACCAUACACCGUUAUCCGGUGUUGGGACCAUGCAUGGUGGGCAGUUUGACUGGGGCGGUCGCCUCCCAAAGAGUAACGGAGGCGCGCGAUGGUAGGCUCAGAACGCUUGGAAACCGUUCGUCGAGUGCAAUGGCAUAAGCCUGCCUGACUGCGAGACCCACAAGUCGAGCAGAGACGAAAGUCGGUCAUAGUGAUCCGGUGGCACUUCGUGGAAGGGCCAUCGCUCAACGGAUAAAAGGUACGCCGGGGAUAA